GUCAGGAUGGCCGAGUGGUCUAAGGCGCCAGACUCAAGGUUUGUUCUUUCCCGAUCAAAGGGUGUUCUGGUCUCCAGAUGGAGGCGUGGGUUCAAAUCCCACUCCUGACA
RNAcentral lists this transfer RNA (110 nucleotides) under Cuculus canorus (common cuckoo). It matches the Rfam family "tRNA". Rfam says of the family: Transfer RNA (tRNA) molecules are approximately 80 nucleotides in length. Their secondary structure includes four short double-helical elements and three loops (D, anti-codon, and T loops). Lineage: Eukaryota; Metazoa; Chordata; Aves; Cuculiformes; Cuculidae. The record is from Rfam by way of RNAcentral.